GGCUCCCGGCUCGCUCCCCGGGCUGCCGCGUUGUGCACGCAGGGGAGCCCAGGCCCGGAUAUGGAGAGUCUCUCACAGCGCGGUGGCUAAGCUGAGUGGGGUGGUGGUCGGGGGUGAGCAGAGACCUUCAGCUGAGCACACUGUUCUCUGAAGGGAGAAGUGGUGGAUCCUAUGGGGAUUAGGUGUUCCUAUCAGAAACCUUUACAGCUGCUUGCUUUUUAAAGCUUAUGUAGGGUUAGUUAUGCCUGAUUUAACAGCCUGAGGGUUAGAGAGCUUGUCUAGAAAUCAGGAGGACAGCUCUCAGCUUGUCUCGGCCUAAAGGGAGUCAGACCUGUAUCUUCACAGAGCCUGACCUCACUGUCUCUGGAAUAGGCUCAGCAGAGUAUGUAUUCUUGCCCUCAGCAAAAGCUAGACCACAGUGCAUCAAAGGACAUGCAUGCUGCAUCAUAGCCAGCAGCGAUGGCAGUCAGACAGAAACUCCAGGUCCAAGUUCCUUAUUGUCAAGUUGUUUAUAGACUCUAUAUUUAGCAGUACUUAGAUGAAAACCGGAGAUACUCCUAAACAAAUAUCUCUGGCAUUUUUCUCAAAGGUCUUUGGUUGUCUUCUGCAACGCAACAUGACUAAGGCGGAGAUUUUCAUCUUUGCCUUGAAAUCUCCCUUUCCCUAGUCACUGUGAAAAAUACUAUGAUCCUGCUUGUUAUUCAAGUUUAACUGUUGCGUGCAUACUUCAAAUCAUACUGCCCUGCAGGGGUGCUUCCAUCCAGACAGGGAUGUAAUGAGCAAGGCAAGAGGGAUGUCCUGCUGACAAGAGCCCUGAUGAAGAAGCCCAGAGUAGACACAGAGCUGUCAUUGCCACUUGCUCCUGAAUAACACUGAGAGUGGGAAAGUAGGAUAUCAUAAAAAUGAAAGCUGUUACCAUCACUUGCUUCCUUUUCUCUCCUUCUCACCCUCCAUAGACUUUGUGGCAACAGUGACCAGAGGUGGCUGUAAGGACAUAGUGACUGGCUGUAGAACUGUGAUUCUGUUGCAUGAGGGAACCGACAGAGUGAAGACAAUUCCAGGGAGAUGGACAGCUCAAGCAAGUGAAUGGGAGAAACAGUUCUCAUCCAGGUAGUCUCUAGCUGUCUCUGUAUUGUAUGUUCAAGUAGAGAUGUGAAAGGGAAAUGACAUGAAGAGAGGCAAGGAGAUAAGUGAAAUUACCUGCAUGUUUCAUGAGUUUUGUCCUUGCACACUGCACUUUUUUUGAUAGGGACCAUUAGCUGUUAUUAUCAAUCAGCUGCUCUGACUGCAUAACUAUUUUUCCCCCCUUGGCUACACUGGCAAGAUUAAUACAGGUCAUUGUUUGUGUUUGACACUUGAUAUUGUCCAUUUAAUUGUACGGAAAUGAGAAGCAGCAGCUAUGCCAACAUUUUAUUAUUAAAGUACCUGAAAACAGUGAGUAAUCUACAGAGUUCAAUUAUAGGCAGCCCCAUGUCCCCAAGCCAGCAGUCGCAGAGAUUUACAUUCUAAUUGAUAUUUUAUUCAGUAAAGGAAAAUAAAAGCACUCAGCUACCUCA
This is a long non-coding RNA of Dromaius novaehollandiae (emu), 1556 nucleotides long. Lineage: Eukaryota; Metazoa; Chordata; Aves; Casuariiformes; Dromaiidae. The record is from Ensembl.